Molecule: ribosomal RNA, 305 nt
Filed under: uncultured bacterium
Lineage: Bacteria
Description: bacterial SSU rRNA
Rfam family: Bacterial small subunit ribosomal RNA
Source: RNAcentral
GCCUACGGGGGGCAGCAGUAGGGAAUUUUCGUCAAUGGGCGCAAGCCUGAACGAGCAAUGCCGCGUGAACGAGGAAGGUCUUCGGAUCGUAAAGUUCUGUUGAAGGGGAAAAAGAGCGGAGAGAGGAAAUGGUCUCCGAUUGAUAUUACCCUUCGAGGAAGUCACGGCUAACUACGUGCCAGCAGCCGCGGUAAUACGUAGGUGGCGAGCGUUAUCCGGAAUGAUUGGGCGUAAAGGGUGCGUAGGCGGCCUGCUAAGUCUGGAGUGAAAGGUACCGGCCCAACCGGUACAGGGUCGGGAAACUG